RNAcentral lists this ribosomal RNA (433 nucleotides) under uncultured bacterium. RNAcentral's name for it is "partial 16S ribosomal RNA". It matches the Rfam family "Bacterial small subunit ribosomal RNA", at positions 29 to 507 of the family's 1533-position model. The record is from RNAcentral.
AGCGAACGCUGGCGGCAGGCCUAACACAUGCAAGUCGAACGGAACCUUCGGGAUUAGUUGCGGUCGGGUGAGUAACACGUGGGAACGUGCCCUUUGGUUCCGAACAAUUCAGGUACACUUGAGCUAAUACCGGAAGUGCUCUGCGGGGGAAAGAUUUAUCGCCAUUGGAGCGGCCCGCGUCUGUGUAGCUAGUUGGUGAGGUAACGGCCCACCAAGGAGAAGAUAAGUAGCUGGUCGGAGAGGCUGAACAGCCACACUGGGACUGAGACACGGCCCAGACUCCUACGGGAGGGAGCAGUGGGGAAUCUUGCGCAAUGGGGGAAAGCCUGACGCAGCCAUGCCGGGUGAAUGAUGAAGGUCUUAGGAAUGUAAAAUUCUUUCAGCGGGGACGAUAAUGACGGUACCCGAAGAAGAAGCACCGGCUAACUUCGUG